Molecule: ribosomal RNA, 451 nt
Filed under: uncultured bacterium
Lineage: Bacteria
Description: partial 16S ribosomal RNA
Rfam family: Bacterial small subunit ribosomal RNA
Source: RNAcentral
GUGAGGAAUCUUCCGCAAUGGGCGAAAGCCUGACGGAGCAACGCCGCGUGAAUGAAGAAGGCCUUCGGGUCGUAAAGUUCUGUCUUUAGGGAAGAAGUCCCUUGAUGUAAAUAAUGUCAAGGGGUGACGGUACCUAAGGAGGAAGCUCCGGCUAACUACGUGCCAGCAGCCGCGGUAAUACGUAGGGAGCGAGCGUUGUCCGGAAUUACUGGGCGUAAAGGGCGCGUAGGCGGGUAUUUAAGUCAGAUGUGAAAGCUCCGGGCUUAACUUGGAGAGUGCAUUUGAAACUGGAUAUCUUGAGGGCAGGAGAGGAAAGUGGAAUUCCUAGUGUAGCGGUGGAAUGCGUAGAUAUUAGGAGGAACACCAGUGGCGAAGGCGACUUUCUGGACUGUACCUGACGCUGAGGCGCGAAAGCAUGGGGAGCAAACGGGAUUAGAUGCCCUGGUAGUCC